RNAcentral lists this unclassified non-coding RNA (3524 nucleotides) under Leishmania donovani. RNAcentral's name for it is "gene:LdHU3.07.1200(CDS-product:splicing_factor_pt sr1-like_protein)". Lineage: Eukaryota; Euglenozoa; Kinetoplastea; Trypanosomatida; Trypanosomatidae. The record is from RNAcentral.
CAAGUGCCGUGCUUCCGCUUGUUGUUGUUCGUUCUUGGUUAUCCUUUAUAAUUGCCGUCCAUCGCCGCUCCCGCGCUUCCUGUCUUAACCUUUUCUUUUUGUUUUCUCUCUGCCAACGUUACGUCGCUCCGCGCAUGUCACAGUCGCUCAGUCGCAGCGGCAGCCAGAGAGGCGUCGCCACUCGAAGCGCGUCGCGCAGUGCUUCUGGCAGCCGCAGUGGCAGCCGCAGCAGCUCCAACUCGAUGCGGCUGCCGGAACCCACCGCGGCAUCGGCCACCGUUGCCGAGCCUGCAGCCGUACCUGCUGCUGCGGAGACCCCGGCCGACGAUGUGGGACAGCCGCAUGAGCCGGAGAAGGAGGUGGCGUCGAUCUUCAUUGGCAUGGGUCCCGCUGGCCGUACCGUGACCUUGACGGAGCUGACGGAAUACCUCAAGUCGAAGGCGAUGGACCCGGCGAACGUGAAGGAUGUUCGCCUUCGCGGCCGCUGCGCGUUCGCGGAUACGACGACAGUAGAGGAGGCGCGCCACCUGAUCGCACAGCUGGACAACCACGACUACAAGGGCAAGUUCCGUCUGGCGGUGCAGAUGAGCAAGCAGACCAUGGCCGAGGCGAAGGAGAACAAGCGCAAGCGCCAGGAGGCGCGCGGCACCAAGCAGGGGGAAGAAGGCAACUACGUGAACGAAGGCCGUCAGGUUUUUGUGAACCUCGGCCCUGCCGGCAAGGACAUCCCCAACGAGGCCAUUCGCAGCAAGAUUGAGGCCAUCUGCCCGGUUCUGCGUUUCGAGCGCCGUGGCUACUGCAUGUACGCCGAUGUGCCCACCGCCGAGGAUACGAGGCGGGUGGUGGCAGCGCUGAACAACAUGAUGAUUGGCGAGGUGCGCGUGCUGGUGCAGAUCAGCACCUUGGUCCGCAAGCGUGAGCGCUCGCCGCAGCGCGUUCGCGAUGCUCCUCGCCGCGGAGGUGACCGUCACGAACGCGACUCGCACCACCAUCGCCGCCGCAGCGACAGCCGCGAGGGUCGCCGCCGUCACCACCGCUCGCGUCGCAGUUACACGCCGUCGUCGCGCAGUACCUCUUCCUACUCAUCCCGCAGCCGCUCGCACAGCCGCGGUCGCCGCAGCUACUCUCCCGACUCUGAGGACUCUCGCGACCGCCGCAGCCGGCGCGGAGGCUACCAUGGCAGCGACCGCCGUCGUGGCCGUACCGAACGCGGCGGUGACCGUCGCGAGCGCCGCGGCGACGAGCGCCGCACACGUCGUUGAUAGCCUCCGCAAACCUCGCCUUGGACAUGCAAGCAAGGCGAGGUUUUCAAGCGACACGAGACCAGGCAGGAAAAAAAAUGGAGGUUAAGUGGAGGGGAGACUGGGUGAGGUUAGGCCUAACGCCAGCAAUGACAUGAGGCGUGGGCCACUGCAGAUUGUGGCCGUAUCGUUCGGUGCCCCAACCCCUCGCAUCUCCGUCUCUUCGCCUGUUUUUAUUCGUUUUUCCUUUUCGUUUUUUUUUUCCUUUUGUUUUCCUUUCGUGUGUGUGUGCACGUUGAAGCCGCGGUUGGUGUCGAACCGCGGUUGGUGUCGCCCCUCCCCUCCCCUCUUCUCCUCACCUCUCCUCUCGCGUCUCUCUUGUCGUGUGUCCUGCCGGUCUUGCGCUGCGGCACUGCCAUCUUUCCCCUCUCUUUUGUCUCUUUAAAGUUUUCUACAUAUCUAUGAUCAUUUCUUUUUCUGUUUUCACGCUCUGAUCGCGCUACGCAUAUCUCACUCGCGCUGCAUGGGCUCUCCCCCCUUCCCCACACCCGUUGGGUGUCUAUCGGUGUGCCCCUUUAGAAGGACAGGCCUCAUGAGUUCUUUGUGCGCAGGCACAAGUCUCUCCGCGGGCCUCUUCUGCUUGACAUGCUCGCUCCUGCCAAAGGCCUGCGGGCUCAGGAGAAAACGGAAUGCCCCUGCUGCCACAGACUCAUGGCGGCGCCCCAUGUGUCGCGGCACAUGCGGGCGAGCCAUCCGGGCGCGCCCCCCGCGACAUCGACGGAAAUGGAGGACGAUGACAGCGAUCCCCCCAGGCAGCAACGCCGUCCUGGGGCAGAACCGAAGAUCCGAAAAUGCGAGCACUGCGCGCAGACGCUGCAUAGCAUAGCUGGCAUGGUGCAUCACAUCCGAGAAAGGCGUGCAGCAGCCCGAAGAGCACGAGCGAUGGACGAGAACGGCGCAAAGAGAUGCACACCGACCAACUCCACAGCGCAUGCGCGCGACAUGUGCGGCGUCUCCUGCAUCCGGCUGGGUGGGCUGGCGCAGCACAGAUGCCGAAAACAUGACGAGAGCGCCGCGUACGGCACCACGGAGUUCUCCAGACUCCGCUGUGGAGAGUCUCCACACCACAUUAUGGAAUGCUGCGGCUGGAGGCGACCGAGGGCGAAGCACGGCGUGCAGGCGGGGGGCCUCUGAGGGCCCUGGCCUGAGGCUGGCGGACUUCCUCCUCGAGCGCAUGCGGCAUGCACCUAGACCACCCCCUAUUACCUGCACGACAGCCGCCACCGCCCUGGGGCAGGACCCUGGGCGCGGCCCGCCUGAAUCCAGGCGUGCAGUCCACGGGAGUGUCGGUCUGGCGCCGAUGACGGGGCAUUUAUGAGAAGGGACGGGGAGAGACAAGCAGAGCCGGUGGGACGCAUGGCCUCGACGGCGGAACGGCUUGUCCUCCACGACCAGGAUUCAGCCGUAGUGCGACAGAGGUUGAUGGAGUGUAGCUGUAUGCGCAUAUAUGUGUUGACUUGUUCGUGGUAUAGGAUGUCAGGCUGAGCGAAGUGGCACUUUCUGUAUUUCACGUGUAUUGUUUUCUUAGCUAUUAAUAUGCUAAUGUGGUUGUUUGUAUGUGUACGUGUCUGGGGGAGGUGUGUGUGCGGGUAGGGGGAGGGGGUCGAUGAUGUUGGUGGCGCUGGUGCGGGCAUGGCUACCGGCGAAUACCUAUCCUCCCUCUCUCUGUCGCUCUCUCUCUGUGUUGGUCUGCAUGUGUCGAUCUGUCCUGACUGUGUUUUCGUCUUCUCCCCCUGUUUCGGCCUUUAACGUAUAUAUAUAUAUAUAUAUAUAUAUAUAGAGCAACGUUUCUCUCUUCCCCCCUUCUCUGUCUCUCUGUCUUCUUUAGCAUGCCCUACUCGCUGUGGUGGUGGCGGCGAUGUUCGUUGGUUCAGUUGUCGGUGACUGUUUUUUUUUUUUUUUGUGCACCCGGACGUGCAUGGUGGGCGUGUUUGUGUGGGGAGGGGGCGGCGUCUGUGGCUGUGGUAGUGGUGAUGGUGUCUGGGGUGUGUUGUGUGCCCUCCUCGUUGGUGCUCGCAGAUGCGUUCUUCCCCUUCUCUUUCAGUCCUAUUACCCCUGCUGCUGCUGCUGCGGCGGUGGCAUCUCGAAGGAAGGAGAUUGACAAGGGGGAGGGAUGAAGGGUCGACGAGUGAGGCAUUCCCUACGCCUCACGUGUUGUGUGCUGUGUGCGAUGUUGUCUGUCUGCGCAUGCCUGGGUGCUGUGUACGGUAACACGUAAGUUAG